CCUUCCCCUUCCCCUUCCCCUUCCCCGGCUCAGCACCCAGCUGGCGGCACCCAGCAGUGCGCGGAGGAUACGAGCUGUGUGUGUGUUGCCUCAGAUGGGACAGAGAAUCGUGUUUAGUUAGGUUUUCUUUUUUGGGGGGAGGGGGGAUGUCUUGAUGAGGCACCACACCGCUUUUAUUCUGCGGCUGUUCGGGAUCUUGUGUUAUUUGUAAUCUCUAGCUCUUCAGACAAUCAUUAGUGUUCAUUAAAAUGUUUACAAAUGCCGAAUGAUUGUGUGCAGGCUGCAGCGCUGUCACUGGGAGCUGUUUGCCGUUUGUUAGCUGUCAUUCAUUAUUCAGAGUUUUCGCCAUCCGAACAGAAAGCAGAAAUCGUGCUUUGUACCUAAGGUAAUUUACAAAGUGAUUUGUAAAAUGUAAUGUGGACAAUUCUCAGUUAUUGUUUAUCCAGAGUAAUUUGCCUGGCAUGUCAGGUAAAUAAGGGAUGACAGAGCCGAGCAGACUAUAGUUUUCCUGCUCUAGAUAUUUCUCUCUUGCUUCAGCAGAAGGACGACUAUCUGUCUACUACACUUAGGAGACGUGCUGUUUUGGUGAUGAAACAAAGGCGGCAGCCAGCCUAGGAGCGCCAGUUAGAGCAGAUCACGUAAGGCUAUGCAAGCAGACGGUACGAUGGCUAACGUGCAGACCUGGCCUACGCAUUACAUACGUCACAUGGAGAUACCAUAGAUGUUCACAAGUGCUUAUGUAUGUCCACCGGGGUGUAUUGAUCACCCUGUAGUCACCCCUCGGGGUCCUCUUUGGGGCUGGGAGCCUCCUGAGCCUCACAGCUUGUGCACCGCUUAGUCCUCAGGCAGACGCAAGAGCAGGCGGCCGAUGCAGAGCUCCUAGCCCAGAGCUCCCCCCGAACCCAGUUCUUAAAGGCGUCUGUGAAGUCUCAGCCGGGUGUGAUGCGGCAGUUGAGGAGCCACAGUUUGCAGCCAAGGUGCUGAGGUGAUCUGAUGUUUCCCAGACUCAGGCUCCAGCUACACCAGCACACAAGUCCUAGAAGCCCCCAGGAAGGGGGUGAAGAGCUUGGGGGCAGCCCUGCUGCCACUGGUAAGCAGUUCCUGGUGAGCCGCUGCCUGCUAGGCAGCUCCUCCUCUGGGAGACUCCUGAACAAGGGGACUGGGAGCUCUCCUCCCCUCUCUGCUUCCUUCCCUACUUGAUUUUUGAGAAGCAUUUAGCCUGAACGUGAAUUCUGCAGAUGUUCUAUGUCUUUAAAAACAGACAGAGGUAAUACAUGACUUUUUUAAGGCUGCUUUAUACUGAAGGAGAAGUCUGCACUUGAAAGUUCAGAUUCAAGCAGUGUGUGAAGAAGGGGUGAAUAACCCUCUUGUAAAAUGGUUGUUCUAGGGAGCGUCUCUGUGAAGCCUCCAGGCUGAGAGACAAAUAGCUUCUGCAGCCUCCAGAUGUUUAAGGAGCUUUGGAUGUAAUUUUGGAGUUGGCCCUGUCCUGGAUUCUGGGCACUGCAGGAUUUGUGCAUUGCCACAUCACAGCGCAGUGCCGCAGGACCACCGACCACUGCCGCGUUUGCAAAGCGCUGCCGGCGCCCACAGCCUCUGCUGGUGCUGGUCACAGGCGAUCGCUCAGACUCACCGAGUGAAUUGCGCGUAGAUUUACAAGCUGGACAGAGGAGGUAUGGGGAAGUUCUGCCUUCCCAAGAAUUCUUGUACAAAUAAAUGAAGUCUCCAUGUGGGCUGAUUAUUCUGACCACCGAAGACAGUGCUGGGAUUUGCUCAUCUCAGUGGAGCACCUUCUUCUACAGGCCAGGGCACAUGAGACACCGGUGAGCCUGAAAAUUCAUGGCAAACAGACAGAAGACAAUGAUGUGCAAUUUUUCCACGUGGAAGUAGCUAAUGAAGGCUGUAUUGGUGCGAGGUGAGCAAAGGUUUCCUUGAUAAUUCGCUUAGAAAACAGAGGACAACAACAAAGCUUGGAACACGGUGCAGAGCCGCAGCUGGGGUGACGGCGCUGGGCUGGGUGAAGGAGCAUGGUCGAGGCACUGGGAAGGGAGCAGGACCAGGCUGGCACCGGUCACCUUUGGUACUUCCCGUGUGGCUAAAGCUUUGCCAGAAGGUGAGGAGCUGGGGUUUUUAUCUCCCUAGAUGCGACCAUCCACAGCUUUCUGUCCCACCAAGCUGUCCUCGCGCAUUGCUCUUUCUCUUUUAAUUCCCUUUGUCUUGCUCUGAUUUACGCUGUGAGUUUGGUGGUUUGUGGGAAAGGCUUCCCUGUAAUAUCAGAUGCUGUUUUCCCCUUCUCUUUGUUUCGUGCUGUCCUUCUGCAUUGUCUGACAGCACGCCGUAGUGCAAUGGAAAAAGGGAGGGGACGCAGAGCACAGUGCUAAAUUAAUUGCAUUUGUUCAGGUACAAGAUGAAUCGUCCAACUCAAAUCACAGUCUCUAAUUUUGCAAAGAAUUGUGUGUAGUGGCACUGGGGUUGGCUUUGAGAAGUUUUUUGAAGUAGAGUUCAUAAUUCCUCUUGUUAAUAAUGCAUCACACGCAGCCGAUGCUGUUUGCAGCGCCCACAGCCAGGCUUCGUGGGUCCCACUUGUCUGCGAGCAGGCUGGGAACAGGAGGGAGGUGGUUCUGGGUAACGUUUCAUGUGACGCUCGGCAUUGAAGAAUGUUAUGGCAUUGGCUUAAAGCAAUUCUGUCUGAGCCUGCAUGUCUAAAAAUGUGCUCAUUCAUUUACUUCUGUUGAUGUUAAACAUGUGUUUUCCCCAGCCUGCCACAGCCCUUUCUGAGCAUCAGCACACACUGAGGGGGUUUCACAUCCGAAGUAAUUGUGCAAAGUGUGGGUAUUUUGAACAGCAGCUCCUAGAUACUCAGGAUUGAGCAAGAAAUGAAAGUGAUUGGGAAAGCACAUAGGGGGCCAUUUAGGGCAGCUAGACUUCACAAAGUUCUGGUCAGAUACAGGCCCUCAUGAAAGCAAAUGGGAAAUGCUCCCUAGUUUUCCUUUAAUUCAGUUAUGGCGAUUAAGAUAUUUUUUCUCUUAAUGAUCCUAGUUUUAGCAGCUCGGACCAGAUGCAGGCAGCCUGUCCCCUCCUGCACUGGCGAUGCAGCCCUGCCGAGGCUCAGCCAUGGCAGGGGCGUGUGGCCAGGGCUGAUGGGGAUCCAGGGGACAUGCUUCCAGGAGCCUUUCCACCGCUCUGCUCGCCACCUUCGCAGCUCCGGCUGCUGUGGCAGGCUCAUGGCAAGCAUUUAGCAGUGGGAAAAGCAGUGCGAGGCCAAGGAGAUAGGAUUGUGUCAGUAAUUGCUUGGCUGUAAUUAUCUGCCAUUGUGCAUUCUGUUAGCUCUUCCUGCUUCUCAUUAGCAUAGAGUGGAGAAAAUAUUUAAUUGCAACACUAUUCUGUACAUGGCACUAUCCGCAAGCAGAGCAGAUCAAAUCAAACUGCCUUGUGGGGACGAAGCAGAGAUUAGCUUCUCCGGGGCAGCAGGGUACGGCUGACGAAAACGAGCGGCAGAAUACAAAUCGCUGGGUGUUGCCCCCCCCCAGUCUGCAGUUGCAGAAGUGCAACCCCGAGCAGGCUUUUUUCUCUUCUUUCUGCCGAUCACUUGGUGGAGGCAGAGCCUCACCUCCCAGUCACGAUCCCAAAGCACUUUGCAAUGUGAGGCUGAUUUUGCAGACUGCCCGCUUGUAGCUUUACCCUGUCUGCAGGACACGGCUGACGUGGGGACAGACGUGCAGCACAGUGGCUGCUGGAAACCUGUAUUUGAAAUGGGCUUGGACUUUGGUGUGCCUUGUCACCGUGUCCUGUGCGUAAAAAUGCAGCCCUGGGGUUGCACAACCACAGCAGCUCGUGUGUAUGGGAGAGGUGCAGGAACAGGCUGCUCCUCCCAGGAGGCUGCGUGAGGAGAAAUGACGCUGCAGAAAGCACAAAAAGUUGUGUUUUGCAAGGAACAGUCUCUCUAGCAGUGAAAUGCAGUUGGUCACAGACUCUACUUUUAUUGAAGCGCAUAAGAAACAGUGUGAGUCUGAGCUGCUGCACAUUGAGCUACCAGAAGUGAAGCCAAAACCACCCAGACUUGGACCUGAGGUCUGCUUUCCAGCACAGAGAAAAAGAUGCAGAAGCUGCCCCCUUCUCAGUCCUCACUCCUUUCGCCUGUGCUGGGAGCUCAGCUCAUAGCCAGGCACAGAGCAAAGCGUGCAAGGGGCGUAGGUGUCUGGGGCUGAGCUGGCACGUUGGUGCCAGGGGACGUUAGAGAGGCCUCUGGCAGUAGUUUUACCCAUGGCUUGUGCCAUGAAAAGAGGAUUUGGGUUUCAAACCAAUGCUUUCUGCUCCCAGCCAUCCUCUUCCCUGCAGGCAAAGGAGCCGUGCCCUGGCUAGAUCUGUGCUCCCCAUCGAUCUGAUCAGCAAGUGUGGUAAUAUCGACUCCAUUACUCUGGCAUAUUAACUCAAACAUCCAAGUCAUCCCAGAGCUCCACAGCCACCUGAUCUCCUCUGCCGAUUCCCACAGCCUCCGCGCCGCCGACCUGAAAUGCUGCCACCAGCGUUAGACAUAACAGCAGACUUAAUUAAAGGGUGGCAGCGUGCCAGCCUCCAAGAGGCAGAGCUGAGCCGGCUGCGCUGCUUUCAAAGGGGCAUUUUUUAAAAACUCUGGAAAAUAGCAGGGCAAGCCCUGCUGUGCUGAUGCCGGCGUGGGUCAAGCAUCUGUUUUGCCUCGGGUCCUGGCCCCUGGGAAGAAGCGCUGUGCGGUCUCUGUGGCUGACAUCGCUUUGGUCACGCUCGCAGGGCCCUUUCGUGCACGCCACGUCUCUUCUCCAUCCCGUCCUGAUGUGAAAGUGGGGUGCCCCCAUUUCUGCAGGCUGAGGCGGAGGUCACUGGAGCUGCGGGCUCUUUGUCCUGCGUCCCUCUGGGUGUGACACCCCUGUGUGUGCCGGGGGGCUGCAGGGCCACUUUGCUGCGCUCCAGGUGUGCUUUGGUGGGCCCUGCACUGCCCUCCAGACGCGCUGUGGCAGAGGGAUGAAUGCAGACACCAUCUCUGCCCCUCUCGCCUGCAUCAGCCCCAGUGCAGCCUCGCUAAUUCCUCACUGUUUGUAGCCCCAAGCUUAUUCACUUCGACGACAAAACGAGAAGAAGCUUCCUAUUUCCAUAGCUAUCAGGGAUCUAAACAUCUCCUCCCCGGAGACCCCAGCGGGAGCGAUGGAUGGUGACCAUCUGACCCGUUCCCCUGCCUGCGCUCCUUGUCCCAGCCCUGCCGCCAAGUUGUCAUGGCACCUGCCCCCCGGCCCUUCCCGAGGCCACACGCACUCUGACAGCACUCGGCGUUAGCACGAUCUUGAUGCUGAAGGAUCCCCACGGAUGGAAACCCGCUGUCUCUCCUCGGAGCACAAAAGCGUUUUUGCAGCUGUAACCGAUGCGGCACAAAAGCGGGACGGGGACGGACCGACGUCAGGAGGCGGAAGGUAAAAUCCUUGGGCACCACUUUGAGGCAGGCAGAUCCCUGUGGCACAUGUGCGUCGCGGCUCCAGUCAGAUAACAGACAAUGCCCUGAUUAUGGGAAUGAAUUUAGCAUUGUGCACCAAAUUGUGUGAAUGCCUGUUGGAAGAAUAGAUAUUCGAACAAAAAAUGAGGACCGGAGAAAAAGAAAUCAGCCUUUGAGUCAUCGCUUUGCUUCGCACUCAGGAUUUGGUCCACUGUGUGUCCAGAAUAAUUAUUAAGCAAGUUCUGAUGGAAGAAUUUUAUUUACCUAGCCUCAAAAAGGAAGAAAAGAAUCCUUAAUAGUUGAUUAGAUCAAAAAAGCAUCAUUUAUUUUUCAAUAAGUGCUUUAGAUGUAAGAUCAAUGGCUGGAGGUUGAUUGAUAGGAGCUGUUUGCAAAGACCUUAGAUCUAAUUGUGCUCAGGCAAUCACACAGACUUUUCUUUGACUAAUACUAGACACCGUCCCUCUUGUACGGGCGGGGGAGGCACCAGAAAAUAGCAAUACUUUGCAUUGGAGAGUUGCUCAGCAACUGCCCCAUAUUAUUUUUGAGUUGUCUCUGAAUAUAGUCUCCUUUCUCUUUGAUCUUCAUGUAAUUUUUGUUGCUGCUACUUCUCAAAAAAAAGAACAUUUUAAAAGAAUUGCACCUCCAUUUGCCACAAUCUUUUUUUUUUUUCCCCCAAGCACAGCAAAAGCCUGAUGACAUAGGGGAAAGCAGUGCAUUUCACUGCAGAGGGAAGGAAAUUAAGGUCCAUCUACUCUGCUAGAGCCUUUGGGGGUUACUGGGGAGCCUGGGCUCCUGCAGAGCCCUACCCUCUGCUUCUGUAUGUGCCCCACACACAACAUUCAGAUGCUCAACAGCGGUGCUCAGCUUUCGCCACUGAGCUGCCUCACAGCUGGGUUCAGGGCUGGCCAGCACGGCAGCUGAGCCAGUACCAGCAUUCCUGCUUUGGCACUGUUUGAUUAAGAAAUGGUGAUGAGACAAUUUGUCCAGGGAAGAGAGAGUCAGAGCUGGGAUUUCUCGCUUCGCUGUAAUUCCAGACCAAGACUCACGUGGAAGGCUUUGCUUGCCAGUCCUGAUUUGGAAAGAGCAUCACAUCUUGGCAGCCGAUGAUUAUCAGCCCUGCCUCCUGCCUCUUCUGAGAUAAAGGGCUUUACAUGAAGCAAAAGGUGAUUCAUCCUUGAGCUGCUCUUCCCAGACCAGUGUUGUUCCAUGCUCUAGAUGUCACUGACCCCUUGCAGAGACCAGCAGAAAGGGUCUUCCAUUUUUGUAGUGUAUCUGAGCCUUUUCUUGCUUUCAUUUAUUUUCUGGGACUGCUACGCACAAGCGGAUAAUAAGAGAUCUGCAUCGUGUUUGGGUCUCUCUUGGGUAUCGCACACAGAACAAGAGCAACAAGUAAAACACCAAGUCUCCACGAUAGGAAAAAAAGCCCUCCAAAAAAUAGAGAAGAAAAUAACCCAUGAAUUUAAACAGCAUUUGCAAAUGAGAGUCAGGAGCAUCUUCUGUGCAGUCUCUAGACAGCAGAGUUGUACAACUGCUGUCAGUCAUGCAGAUUAAAACUGGAAGCACUCAGCGAGCAUUUGCACAGCCCCUGUUCAAGCUGAACACACAACUCCCGAGCCAGGUCACAUCCCAGCUGGAGGAUGUCAUCAAGGGAAACAAGCAAUUUCUUCAUUUCCCCGUGCUUUCAGAACAACCACAUUAGGCAAUCAUGACCUGGGCACCAGCUACAGACCCGCAAGCUGGGGGUUCCUCCUUGCACGUUUUCCCCAGUGCUUGGUGGCAGAAAGCAGCAGUUUUGUUUUGACCAGGCAGCACCCAAAAGUCAGAAACACGUAUCCGGAAACUUUCAAUGCGAAUUAACUUCCAAAGCAGCAGAAGGAAGCAAAUUUCUGCAGCUAGUGAAAAUUUGAGCUUGAAAGGUCUAAAAAUAGACUUCUUGCCUCGGGAAUUCUAGCCUUGCCUUGUAACUCGUGGUGCUGCAGAUUACUGCAUUCAUAAUUUAAAUGUCGGAUGGGGAUAAAAUUACUCGUGUGGGAGUUAUUCAAUUUCUGGUAAGUACAUUUACAUUAAAUAGCAGCUGCACAUACAAAAGAUAGGAAAAAGCCCUUCUGCUUCUAUUCACCUGAAGCAACAAGAACAUGUGUGGCACUCCAAGGCUGCUGUUGCAAGCAGAUAAUCUGUUUUUCUUACUGAAAACCUGAUGAAGUUCACCAUAGCUGAAAGGGCAGCCGUGUCUCCUCUGCCACUUGGCAGGGAGCUGCUCCGGACUAAUCCCUCUUUGGGCUAGAAGAACAUCCAGCGCCGAUCUGAGUGCUGCCAGGGUUGGCUAUUUGUCUCAUUUCCAGCUAUUGCACUUUGUCACCUCAGUGCCUGCAAAUCUGGAAAACCCAGCAUCACAAUCUCCCGGAGACCGUGUCUGCGCUCUGAUCCUCUGCAGCUGGACAAAGGGCUGAGCAUCAGCAGGUGCCCCGUGUAUGGCACAGCCAAGCGUUUGCUCUUCUUCUUCAGCAGUAUUUUUCACACAUAUCGAGCCAUCCAAGCAAAGUAGCAGAGGUUUCUCCCCCGCGGCUGUUCUUCACUGAAGUCUCUGUGCUGAGCUGAUGGGGGGCACAUGCUGGUGAGGGUCUUGGCUACAGCUCCGGGGGAGUCCCAGACCCAGAGUGAACGUGGGACGAGGCUGGAGCUGAGCGCAGGGCUGGCCAUAGCAGGGUGGGCUGGAUUGCUACUCCUGUGCGGACAUGGUCGGGGCUGACAUCUUUCCUUGGCUGUCGUGGCAAGGAUGGGGCUGACACACAGAGCUGCCCCAGCUCCUUCUACAGGGGAGAUGUAUGCAGGGGAGGACAGGAUAGGGUGGGAGCAAAGAUCUUUGCUCUCCAAUGCUUCUGGUCCUCUAGGUGCUCUAGGUGCUCUGGGAAGGCAUGUCGCAGCUGGUCGUGGGUGAGUGAAGGGUUUGGACGAGGCGGAGAUGAUGGUAGGUGAUGGCAAGCCUCACUCCAGCCUCUAGUUUGGAGGCAGGAGCUUGGGUUUCCUUUGAAGUCCAUCCUUCUGCUGCUGCCUGAAAUCCUCUCAUCUCUGCUCUCUGUCUGGAAUGGAUGGUCUGUGUUCAUGACAACUGAAACACUAAUUUGAGGAAAUGAGAGGCUAAUUGAUCCUUGUUCCUUCCUUCUCCUUCUCCCUCUGGCCUGGCUGCAUUCCCUCCGCUCCCACGCUCCCAGAGCAGAGUUGUUUCUGGUCCGUGCGAAGGCCCUGCCCGAGGCCAUAUGGCUGCACAUGGAGAGGUGGCAGCCGUGGGCAGAGCCCAGCUUUGUGCCCGGGGGCUGCGGCAGCCGCCUGCCAGGAGCCCUCGCCAUCCCCACCAGCACGGCAGGGUUACUGGGGCACUUGCUUGCCAGACAGC
Molecule: long non-coding RNA, 8852 nt
Organism: Cygnus olor (mute swan)
Lineage: Eukaryota; Metazoa; Chordata; Aves; Anseriformes; Anatidae
Exons: 3
Source: RefSeq, a predicted model, not a curated record